CAAAAGGGUGGGAAGAGCUUUGAGUAGAGGUGAUAAACCUACCGAGCACAGUAAUAGCUGGUUGCCUGAGAAAUGAAUAGUAGUUCAGCCCUUUACUCUUCCCCCUCCUAAACCGUAUCCACAAAAUACAGGAAGGUAAAGGAGUUAAUCAAAAGGGGGACAGCCCUUUUGAUCAAAGAAACAACUUUAACAGGUGAAAUAAGACCAUAAUAAUCAAGGCUUAAAAUCUAAGUGGGCUUAAAGGCAGCCAUCUUACAAGAAAGCGUUAAAGCUCUGACUUACCUCUUACCCCUUUUAUUCUGAUACUUAAUCUUUAACCCUGCCACCUACCAGGCUGUCUUAUGCCCCCAUAAGAAUAAUUAUGCUAAAAUGAGUAAUAAGAAGAAACACUCUUCUCCUAGCACACGUGUAAGUCGGACCGGACCCCCCGCCGAUUACUACCCGAACCCAAACCCAGAGGGACAUAAGUUGAAAAAACAAGAAAAACACUUAAUAAAAAUCGUUAACCCUACACAGGAGUGCACCAAGGAAAGACUAAAAGAGAAGGAAGGAACUCGGCAAACCCAAGCCUCGCCUGUUUACCAAAAACAUCGCCUCUUGAUUCUCCCAUAUAAGAGGUCUCGCCUGCCCACUGACUAUAUGUUAAAUGGCCGUGGUAUCUUAACCACGCGAAGGUAGCGUAAUCAUUUGUCUUUUAAAUGAGGACCUGUAUGAAUGGCAAAACGAGGGCUUAACUGUCUCCCUCCUCCAGUCAAUGAAAUGACCUCCCCGUGCAGAGGCGGGUAUAAACCUAUAAGACGAGAAGACCCUGUGGAGCUUUAGACCUAAAAUAAAUCCACUCAUCAAGUUCAAGUACGAACCAAUUAACCCAGUGAAAAUUAUUAAUGUGUCUUUGGUUGGGGUGACCUUGGGGUAACACAAAGCCCCCACGAAGAUAGAGGACAUACUCCUCAACACUCAGAGCCGCCCCUCAAGCUCAAAAACUUUGACUUUAAAAAUGAUCCGGCUUAGCCGAAUAACGAACCUAGUUACCCCAGGGAUAACAGCGCAAUCCCCUUCCAGAGCCCCUAUCGACAAGG
RNAcentral lists this ribosomal RNA (1079 nucleotides) under Mesovagus antipodum (bathypelagic rattail). Its description in RNAcentral is "partial 16S ribosomal RNA". It matches the Rfam family "Bacterial large subunit ribosomal RNA", at positions 792 to 2513 of the family's 2925-position model. The record is from RNAcentral. Lineage: Eukaryota; Metazoa; Chordata; Actinopteri; Gadiformes; Macrouridae.